UGUGUUUGAAAUUGUUUAACACUGGCAUAUGAAGUUGUUUAACAUUGGCAACUAAAAAGCAAACAUUACGUGAACCCAAGAAAACUGGCUAGAGUGACAGCAACUCACUGGAUCUAGAUCAAAUCUUCCACUUUACAGGUAGAGAAACUGAGGCCCAGGGAAGUCUAGAAUUUUCCCCAAACUCACAGAGGGAGUUGGUGGCAGACUUUGGCCAGGGCUUGAGUAGACUAUGUCUCAGUGCGGAGUUCUCACCUCCCAGACCUUGGUAAGAAGGGGUUGGAGUUUGUCUGUCUCCUUGACUUUGAUCUAAACAGAGAGGCCCCAACCUGACGGUGAAAGGCAGUAAGAUGCUAUGAACAAGUAUGGCUUUGGGGACCUGGGGUCUGAAUCUGUGUUGGUUAGGAAUGCUUUUGGCUUCAAGUGAUGGAAAAUCUGAUUUACAGUAGCUUCAGCUUUGGAGAUGUUUGCCUGUGCAUAUAAGUCCAGAAAGCAAGGUCUGAGGUCACUAAGAACAGACUCACACUCUGCCCAUCCCUCCACCUCAUCAUCCAUCUUCCUCUCAUUGACUCUUUACCAUCGGGGUGGCCUCAUGGUCUCCAGAUGGCUGCUGAACCUCUGGUUAUUGUCAUUGCAUUGAAAAACGGAAAUUGUUGAUGGGAAUGUGCUGGUGUCCGAGCAGGGAGAGAAUUCUUACAUCUCCUCACCUUCUAGAAGCAAAAUCUUCCACAGAAGGAAUCUUCGCAGAUUUGCUCUUGUAUCUUAUUGGCCACAAAACGGUCACAUGCUGAUAUGGUUUGGAGGUUUGUCCCCUCCAAAUCUCAGGUUGAAAUGUGACCUCCAGUGUAGGAGGCGGGGCGGGUGGGAGGUACUGGAUCAUGGGGGCAGAUUCCUCGUGAAUGGCUUGCUGCCCUCUCUGUGGUAAUCUCUGAGUGAGCCCUGGCUCUGUUAGUUCACAAGAGAGCCGUUUGUUUAAAGGAGCCUGCCUCCUCCCCUUCUGUCUUGUUCCUGCUCCCACCACGUGACACUGCCUGCUCCCCCUUUGCCUUCCAUGAUCGGAAGCUUCCUGAGGCCCUCACCAGAAGUAGAUGCUGGAGCCAUGCUUGUACAGCCUGCAGAACCACGAGCCAAUUAAGCCUCUUUUUCCUAUAAAUUACCCAGCCUCAGGUGUUUCUUUACAGCAAUGCAAAAGGCCUAAUACACAUGCCCAUGCCUAAUCAGGGACCAAUGUGACCUUUCCUGAGGUGAAGUUAUCUUCACCUAAAAAUAUCUAUAUAAAUUGGGGUUCUGUCCAAAAGGAAUAAGGAGGGUAGGCUGGGCGCCAUGGCUCAUGCCUAAAAUCCCAGCACUCUGGGAGGCCAAAGCAGGCAGAUCACUUGAGGUCAGGAGUUUGAGACUAGCCUGGCCAACAUGUCAAAAUCCUGUCUCUACUAAAAAAUACAAAAAUUGAGACGAUCCUGGCUAACACAGUGAAACCCCGUCUCUACUAAAAGUACAAAAAUUAGCCGGGCAUGGUGGCGGGCGCUUGUAGUCCCAGCUACUUGAAAGGCUAAGGCAGGAGAAUGGCGUGAACCUGGGAGGUGAAGUUUGCAGUGAGCCGAGAUCGCGCCACUGCACUCCAGCCUGGGCGACAGAAUGAGACUCCAUUUCAAAAAAAAAAAAAAAAAAGAGGGAUGGGCUCACGCUUGUAAUUCCACAUUUUGGGAGGCCAAGGCAGGUGGAUCAUUUGAGGUCAGGAGUUUAAGACCAGCUUGGCCAACAUGGUGAUAUCCCCAUCUCUACUAAAAAUACAAAAGUUAGCCAGGUGUAGUGGUGGGCACCUGUAAUCCCAGCUACUGGGGAGGCCGAGGUGGGAGAAUCGCUUGAACCUGGGAGGUGGAAGUUGCGGUGAGCUGAGAUCGCACCACUACACUCCAGCCUGAAUGACAGAGCAAGACUCUGUCUUUAAAAAAAAAAAGGAGGGUGACUUUUGGUAGGCAAUAAUGCUGUAAAAUGGGUAUGGCAGAUGGUAUUUUGUUUCUUGCCCUCUCAGCAUCUAUUUCCUAUUUUUCUGAUGACAUACUUUGAUUUUCCUUCAGGUAGGCGUUCUCAGAACAGCAGCCUCA
RNAcentral lists this long non-coding RNA (2102 nucleotides) under Macaca fascicularis (crab-eating macaque). RNAcentral describes it as "lncRNA (ENSMFAG00000065185.1)". The record is from RNAcentral. Lineage: Eukaryota; Metazoa; Chordata; Mammalia; Primates; Cercopithecidae.